CGAACGGGUGAGUAACACGUGAGCAACCUACCUCCAACUCUGGGAUAAGCCUCGGAAACGGGGUCUAAUACCGGAUAUCAUCACAGGCUUCAUGGUUUGUGGUUGAAAGUUCUGGCGGUUGGGGAUGGGCUCGCGGCCUAUCAGCUUGUUGGUGGGGUAAUGGCCUACCAAGGCGUCGACGGGUAGCCGGCCUGAGAGGGCGACCGGCCACACUGGGACUGAGACACGGCCCAGACUCCUACGGGAGGCAGCAGUGGGGAAUAUUGCGCAAUGGACGAAAGUCUGACGCAGCAACGCCGCGUGAGGGAUGACGGCCUUCGGGUUGUAAACCUCUUUCAGCAGGGACGAAGCGAGAGUGACGGUACCUGCAGAAGAAGGACCGGCCAACUACGUGCCAGCAGCCGCGGUAAUACGUAGGGUCCGAGCGUUGUCCGGAAUUAUUGGGCGUAAAGGGCUCGUAGGCGGUUCGUCACGUCGGGAGUGAAAACUCGGGGCUUAACCCCGAGCCUGCUUCCGAUACGGGCAGACUAGAGGUAGGCAGGGGAGAGCGGAACUCCUGGUGUAGCGGUGGAAUGCGCAGAUAUCAGGAAGAACACCGGUGGCGAAGGCGGCUCUCUGGGCCUUACCUGACGCUGAGGAG
RNAcentral lists this ribosomal RNA (640 nucleotides) under Kribbella sp. I13A-01643. RNAcentral describes it as "bacterial SSU rRNA". It matches the Rfam family "Bacterial small subunit ribosomal RNA", at positions 99 to 753 of the family's 1533-position model. Lineage: Bacteria; Bacillati; Actinomycetota; Actinomycetes; Propionibacteriales; Kribbellaceae. The record is from RNAcentral.